This 3005-nucleotide long non-coding RNA is filed under the name Citrus sinensis (sweet orange). RNAcentral's name for it is "long non-coding RNA (CSIN_LNC001337)". The record is from RNAcentral. Lineage: Eukaryota; Viridiplantae; Streptophyta; Magnoliopsida; Sapindales; Rutaceae.
ACCGUUAUCAUGAGUAAGAUGAAAUACUUGCUUCUGUCGUAUGAGAGGGACUGUCCAGCAAUUCGUGCAGCUGUGUUGAUCACUUGACCAAACAGAGUCGGUCCUGCCAAAGAAACAUUGUUUAGAGCGCUUGCAUAGGCAGCCAUAAUGUCUUCAACUCCAUCUGCCUAUUAAAUAAAGAAACCAGCAGUUAAUGAAAAAAUGGAAGAGGAUAAAAUACACAUCUUUUAGGAUAAAAUUCCAAGGAAAUUUUUUUAAAAAUGUAGAAACAUAUUAUAUUGUUUGUUAUUAAAAAUGAAAAGUUAUGGGAGACAAGCCAACCAAAUGAGGAUUAUAGCAACGUUGCGAAUUCCAGCUACCCCUACCUCAAAGCCACCUGCUCUUCCAUUCAAGUUAAAACAAUGUGAUACAGUGCCAUCAAAUGUCUUCCCUCCAAAUCCCCAUGCAGGAAAGCGUCUAUCAGAAUCAUAAAAUUGUAUGACCUCCCCAAUUUCCGUUAUUGCCUGUAAAUGGUUUAAGAGGCCAAUAACUAAUCAGUGAUAUUCUCUCUCAACUUCUACGAACUAUUGAAAUAUCUAUUUCCCUAUGACGGCCAUAGAAAGACUUGAAAGUCACAGGCAUUUUAUAAGUCGAAAACACUGGACAAAAUGACCAUUUUAUGACCUUCAGAGUUCAGAGAUCACUUGUCAAAGUGUGAGUCAUAACAAAGCCUUACCUGCUGGUAAGAAUUCAAUCUGCCUGAAGGAUCAAUAUAGUGCAAAGAAUUUGGAUUUCGAGGAUUUCCAUUUGAAGCUGGAUGAUAUAAAAGUUGCACCAGUUCUUUCUUGAUGAAGUUUCUCCAGGUCUCCAACUGAUUUCUGAAUUUUACUAAUAACAGAAAUAGAAAACCUUGACAUCAGAAAGGCAAAAGGAUAAAAGAGGGAAGCUGAUGACAUUAAGAAAUUUAACAGUUACCCCAUCAGUACGUGAUUUCCACUGGUAUUGAAAUCAAAACAUUCAAUGAUUAAUGGGUUUUCCUGUACCAAAGAGAAUCAUAAACUAAAAAACAUUUCCCCAUGACCAAACUUCACUACCUAUUAUACAUUCAAGUAACAAACACAAGAAGAUGACAAGGUUACCUUGCUCACAAAUUGUUGCAUGCUCAAAGUUAUUGGUCUCCAAAUGGGAUUCAAGUUACAACAGAUAUAUCUUGAAACAAAGGUACGUAUUCAUUACUGAGCGACCCAAAAGUUACUGUUGAAUUAGAUUAAGCACUGCCAUUUUAUUUGAAAACUGUUGUUCCUGCUUUCACCUUCAAUUUGUUUUGUUCGUUGUUUACAGGAAGUCCAAAAUCAUAAAGAUGAUUCAGGCCAACCUUCUGUGCAGCAUCAGGAAUGAGGCCAAUUUUCAUUGAAAUUUGUGAGACAUGGUAUGCAGCUCGUGUAUUUUCUAUCAAAGUUAAGACGGUAAGAGGGCCUUCAUUUUUUAUUGUUAUUGUUCUACAUUUUGGCUUCUCUUGAUUACUCAAACCCAGUUUCAAAGAGUUAUAAUACAACACUUUCGGAAAUUUCUUUCACUCACAUCAUUCCAGGUUGAAUGGUGGAAGGGUCCUUCAUCUAUGCUGUUUCAGACAUCUUGAAAGACUAUAUAAGAAUCUAAAUUAAAGAUGUGUGAAUCAGACUUGUCUUGUGUGCACGUGAGCCAUGUGUUAGAUUGCUGGUGUAGUAGUAAAAGUAGACAUUCAGCACAUGUUCAUUGUAGUAAAUAUUCAACAAAGAUGAUAAAACAGCAACAGAAAUUGGAGUUUUAGGCCAUCAGACAAACAAUUGUGAAACAAGUGGGUAGAGGGAAUAAUAAAAAUCGAAAGACAUGGAUGGGAAGAAUAUGAGAUCAUUGAUAGAACCUAAAUACAAAUUCAAUCAAUUCAUUAAGCCAUCAAAAGUUAGUUACAAACCACUCUAUCUUAACAGAUGUAAUUUACCAUCAUCUAAAACCGCUAUAUCCUAACAUAUGUAAUGUACCAUUAUCAAUUUCUGCUACUGCUGUACCGUACAUCCGCCUUGGCCGUACAGCAGAAAAUAAGUCGAGUCUCUAUGUAUGGAAGGAUGCUUUACGACAAUUGAAAAAUAAGUCUUUAUUGGGGGCCGCCUAUUCAAGUUUAGAGCUGAGUUACUAUCAUUUAGAAGAUGAGGAUUUAGGAGGUGAGGAACUCAGGAAAACGUUUUUGCUAAUAGGAUACUCCUACAUACGUAACGUUAAAGACUUGCUUUAUCAUGGCAUGGGUUUGGGUCUGUUUCAAAACAUCAACACGGUGGAUGAGGCACGGGAUAGAGCACAUACAUUGGUUGAUAAACUCAAGAACUCUUGCUUGUUGCUUGGUGGCUGGAGAAGUGAAUGGUUUUCAAUGCAUGAUGUUGUUCGUGAUGUAGCCAUAUCUAUUGCAUCAAGAGACCAACAUGUGUUUGCGGUGGAAAAUGAGGUUGUCCCGCUGACCAGCUGGCCUACUCUAAAUUGAAUCUAUCAAACUAUAGAAAAAAGAAGUUCGAUGCUAGUAAGAAGAUAUUCCAGUUAGAAAACAUUGUGUACCUCCAUUUGUGUAAAAUCUGCACCUCCCACACCCACAAUUAGAAUUGACAGGGGAAGAUCAGAAGCCCUUACCAAAGCAUCUUUUGUUUCUUGGAGAUCCGUCAGAACUCCAUCCUAAAUAGACAAUGCAAAUUUACAAAUCACCCAAAAAGAAUGAUAGAAAGAGAAAACUGUGAAUAUAUAGAAUCAUUGUAAUCACCGUUAUAAUGAGUAAGACGAAAUACUUGCUUCUGUCGUAAGAGAGGGACUGUCCAGCAAUUCGUGCAGCUGUGUUGAUGACUUGACCAAACAGAGUCGGUCCUGCCAAAGAAACAUUGUUUAGAGCGCUUGCAUAAGCAGCCAUAAUGCCUUCAACUCCAUCUACCUAUUAAAUAAAGAAACCAGCAGUUAAUGAAAAAAUGGAAGAGGAUAAAAUACACAUCUUUUAGGAUAAAAUUCCA